RNAcentral lists this long non-coding RNA (394 nucleotides) under Pan troglodytes (chimpanzee). RNAcentral's name for it is "long non-coding RNA NONPTRT012948". The record is from RNAcentral. Lineage: Eukaryota; Metazoa; Chordata; Mammalia; Primates; Hominidae.
GAAAGCCACAUCCACAAGUCACCUGUGAUACUUUUUUUGAAGAAAAAUAUUCAGAAAAGAUUUGGAGAAUGCCAAUCAAGGUCACUGUGAAAAGCAACACAAAGAAACGCUGAUCACGUCUCACUUCUUGCCAAUAUUGCUCAGAAGAAAAAACGACCAGUGAAUUCUGUGUUUGAAAAAAGCAUCUCAAGGGGAAGCUGUCAUUUUAAACAGGGAUGUUGAGAUAGACCUCACUAAGAAGGUACUACCUGAGGAGAAACCUAAAGUUGAUGCUGGAUACACUGAAAGCCCUGACUUGACCACUAUGCCAUCUACCCAGGAACACACAGAUGACAGAGUUCCUUUCCAUCAUAGUGCAGAGGAACAUUUGAAGAGCAAAAGAUCAUUUUAGCAC